Molecule: small nucleolar RNA, 71 nt
Organism: Melanotaenia boesemani (Boeseman's rainbowfish)
Lineage: Eukaryota; Metazoa; Chordata; Actinopteri; Atheriniformes; Melanotaeniidae
Product: small nucleolar RNA SNORD47
Exons: 1
Source: RefSeq, a predicted model, not a curated record
UACCAGUGAUGACAGAUUCUGCCAAAUGAUUUAAUGAUUAUAACCCUUACCGUUCCAUUUUCUCUGAGGUU